AAUUAAUGUGUUAAACAGUAUGAGUUGCUCACCAAAGAUAUAGCGGUCAUCCGUUGACCAUUUAAGAUAUAAAUGUCGAAGAAUAUCAAAAUAUAGAUUAAGAAAUAUAACCAAAUCAUACAAUAAAAUGUAAUACGUGAAAAUAUUCAUUUCAGAUUAUGGAAGAGAUUUCAGCGAACGGACAGAACACAGUUUAAGUCUUGAUGGUGGGUUUUUAAUUAUAUUACCUCAUCGAUUUCCAUAAAGAUUCUGUCUUAUUUCACUGAUAGUAAAUUUACCAUGACCUUGUAUGACGUAAAUUAGGUGUUGACAGUUUUGGGGGACAUCUGAUAUUUCUUUCCUCUACACCUGUGUAGGAAUUAAUUAUUACUCACUUAGGAUGAAAUCUAUGUCAUUAAGGUGUCUUCAAAUAUUUUCUACAUCAGAUGACAUUCUGAUGUACGUAGAUGUGGGCAGUUAAAAUUAAAGAUUACCAGCAGCAAUGUUUCACAGAGAGAGUAGGUGUUUGUAGUCUAAAGUGAAAUGUAUUUGAAGAUAGAUAUUUGAUGAUUAACCUUGUUGACAGUGGAAGUGAGCAGAAAAUUAUAAGAAUGUUUGAUUAGUGAGGUCUACUGUAGAUGUCAAAACGCCAUGUCAUAGAUGCGUCACAAAUACGUACGUUGAUGUGGGCAGCUAAAAUCAAAGAUUAACAGAAGAAAUAUUUCACAGAGAGCAGGUACUUUCUGUCUAACGGUAAGUGGUGUGGUCAGUUUUUGUAGAUAGAUAUAUGGUUAUCAACUUGCUUGACAUUGCAGUUGAGCAGAAAAUGAGAAGUUUGGUUCAUGAGGUUUACUACGGUAGAGGUGAAAACGUUAUGUCAUAAAUGUGACAGAAAUACCACCUUGACCAUGAUCGACUGACUGAGUGUAUUGAGGGCACCAGAGAUUACAGUGCACCCUCCACUUCUGUCUUCAUCUUGACCUUCUCACCUACGUAGCAUGUCGUAUUUCGUCAAAAACUCACCUUUGGAUACGCUCUCAGUGACCUCCUCUGCUCGCGUAUAUAACUCUCAACAUCUGUGCAUCUCUAAAUAUUUUCAGUGAGCUGGUUACCUGUCCCAUCUGAAAUUUUGUCAUUUACCAUGAGCUUAUAUGAAGUAAAUUAGGUGUUGACAGUUUUGGGGGACAUCUAAUAUUUCUUUCCUCUACACCUGUGUAGGAUUAAUUAUUACUCACUUGGGAUGAAAUCUAUGUCAUUAAGGUGUCUUCAAAUAUUUUCCACAUCAGAUGACAUUCUGAUGUACGUAGAUGUGGGCAGUUAAAAUUAAAGAUUACCAGCAGCAAUGUUUCACAGAGAGAGCAGGUGCUUGUUGUUUGAAGUGAAAUGGUGUGAAAUGUAUUUGAAGACAGAUAUUUGAUGAUUAACCUUGUUGACACUGGAAGUGAGCAGAAAAUUAUAAGAUUGUUUGAUUAGUGAGUUCGACUGUAGAUGUGAAAACGCCAUGUCACAGAUGCGUCACAAAUACGCAGGUUGAUGUGGGCAGCUAAUUUCAGGUACUUUCUGUCUAACGGUAAGUGGUGUGACCAGCUUAUGUAGAUCGAUAUAUGGUUAUCAACUUGCUUGGCAUUUGAGUUGAGCAGAAAACGAGAAGUUUGGUUCGUGAGGUUUACUACGGUAGAGGUGAAAACGCUAUGUCAUAGAUGUGACAGAAAUACCUCCUUGACCAUGAUCGACUGACUGAGUGUAUUGACGACACCAGAGAUCACAGUGCACCUCCACUUCUGUCUUCAUUUUGACCUUCUCACCUACGUAGCAUGUCGUAUUUCGUCAAACACUCACUUUUGGAUUCGCUCUCAGUGACCUCCUCUGCUCGCGUAUAUAACUCUCAACAACUGUGCAUCUCUAAAUAUUUUCAGUGAGCUGGAUAGCCGAAUUUUCAACACGAAGAAUAUUUCACAGAGCCUGUAUCCAUCCCCUUUUACAACCAUCUUCUGGAGUAGAUGAAUCAGAGGAAGACU
This 1997-nucleotide long non-coding RNA is filed under the name Octopus vulgaris (common octopus). Lineage: Eukaryota; Metazoa; Mollusca; Cephalopoda; Octopoda; Octopodidae. The record is from RNAcentral.